ACAUUUUUGAACACAGGCUCCCACCUUCAACUUAUCACUUCCUUACCUUUGCUGGGGUACCUGAUGACUUUAAAGAGACUGUUUCUUUGGAGAAGGUGGAAUACGCUUAAAGAUUGGUCUUGCCUUUAAAACACCAUUUUAAAAGAGACCAUUUGUUAGUGCCUGAAAUCUGUAACUGGCUUAAAAGCUCUGUCAGCUGGAAAGGAACCUGUCAGUGUGAUAAUGGAAAAGAAGAAGAUACAUCAGAGAGAGGAUUUGCAAGUUAGAAAGCAUCAUUUUCGACUGGCCCUUCUCUGUUCUCCCACCAGCUCUUCUGAGGAUUAAAGGAGGUAACUUAAGAAGAAGAGUUAAUGAGAAAAUGUCCAGUCUGAAGGAAAAAAGUGUAAGAAAUGAUUCCCAAAUGUGAACACAUAGAAACCAUAUGAUAGUUCUUCUUAAAUAGUAGAAAGUACUUUUCUAAAAUGUUA
Molecule: long non-coding RNA, 467 nt
Filed under: Homo sapiens (human)
Lineage: Eukaryota; Metazoa; Chordata; Mammalia; Primates; Hominidae
Description: HSALNT0325005
Source: RNAcentral